Molecule: ribosomal RNA, 460 nt
Filed under: uncultured bacterium
Lineage: Bacteria
Description: partial 16S ribosomal RNA
Rfam family: Bacterial small subunit ribosomal RNA
Source: RNAcentral
CCUACGGGAGGCUGCAGUGAGGAAUAUUGGUCAAUGGGCGGAAGCCUGAACCAGCCAAGUCGCGUGAGGGAAUAAGGCCCUACGGGUCGUAAACCUCUUUUGCCGGGGAGCAAGGGCGGGGACGUGUCCCGGCCCGGAGAGUACCCGGAGAAAAAGCAUCGGCUAACUCCGUGCCAGCAGCCGCGGUAAUACGGAGGAUGCGAGCGUUAUCCGGAUUUAUUGGGUUUAAAGGGUGCGUAGGCGGGCGUUUAAGUCAGCGGUAAAAAUUCGGGGCUCAACCCCGUCCGGCCGUUGAAACUGGGGGCCUUGAGUGGGCGAGAAGAAGGCGGAAUGCGUGGUGUAGCGGUGAAAUGCAUAGAUAUACGGAGGAACACCAGUGGCGAAGGCGGAUUGCUGGACAGUAACUGACGCUGAGGCGCGAAAGCGUGGGGAGCAAACAGGAUUAGAUACCCCUGUAGUC